GACGAACGCUGGCGGCGUGCUUAACACAUGCAAGUCGAACGGACAGGCCCUGCUUUUGUGGGGUUCUCGAUAGCCGAACGCGGGAGUAACACGCGAGUAUCCUGCCCUUAACUGUCGGAUAACAUUACGAAACUGGGGCGAAUACCGGGGAUGAGCUCCUGCUGCAUGGUGGUGGUUGGAAAGUGUCGGCGGUUGGGGAUGGACUGGCGGCUUAUCAGCUGGUUGGGGGGGUAGGGGCUGUCCAAGGCUUUGACGGGUAGCCGGCCUGAGAGGGGGAACGGCCACAUUGGGACUGAGAUACGGACCAGAAUACUAAGGGAGGCAGUAGUGGGGAGUCUUGCAAAAUGGGCGGAAGCCUGAUGUAGCAACGAAGCGUGCGGGAUGCCGGCUUUCGAGUUGUGAACCGCUUUGGACUGUGACGAACAGUGAGUGACGGUAAUGGGUAAAGAAGCAACGGCUAACUACGUG
RNAcentral lists this ribosomal RNA (468 nucleotides) under uncultured bacterium. Its description in RNAcentral is "partial 16S ribosomal RNA". It matches the Rfam family "Bacterial small subunit ribosomal RNA", at positions 28 to 507 of the family's 1533-position model. The record is from RNAcentral.